Molecule: small RNA, 28 nt
Filed under: Bombyx mori (domestic silkworm)
Lineage: Eukaryota; Metazoa; Arthropoda; Insecta; Lepidoptera; Bombycidae
Description: ovarian small RNA-37356
Source: RNAcentral
UUCCUUGUUCUCUUAACGCCUCCCAGAU